Oreochromis aureus is the source of this 372-nucleotide long non-coding RNA. RefSeq lists it as uncharacterized. The transcript has 4 exons. NCBI's taxonomy places the organism in Eukaryota, Metazoa, Chordata, Actinopteri, Cichliformes, Cichlidae. The record is from RefSeq and is a predicted model, not a curated record.
CUUUUUUUGUUGUUUCUGUAAAAGUAACACAGCUGCUCAUUCCACUCGCCUCCACCUGCUCCUGCUCUGCCCGCCGCUCUGCCUGCAGCAGGGCUUGCUCCAUCUCCACCUACAGACAAAUACGGAGUCAGAGUCUGCAAGUUAAACAAAUACUAUAAAGAGCUUCUGCUCCUCUUGCUGCGUUGCUGCUGCUCCAGUUCACUGACUCUGUGCUUCAAAUCAUCAACCCUGGCCAGGAUCCUGUUCCUCUCCUCCUCCAGACUCCUCUCUCUGGAUUUCCUCGUCGUUCUCUCUCACCCUCUGGUUUCGGCCGUCUCCCGGGAGAGCCAUCCCACCUCCCGAGUCCGAACAAAGUCCUCUACCAGAACCCAG